This 253-nucleotide ribosomal RNA is filed under the name uncultured bacterium. RNAcentral describes it as "partial 16S ribosomal RNA". It matches the Rfam family "Bacterial small subunit ribosomal RNA", at positions 524 to 776 of the family's 1533-position model. The record is from RNAcentral.
UACAGGGGGUGCAAACGUUGCUCGGAAUUAUUGGGCGUAAAGCGCGCGUAGGCGGCCGCUUAAGUCGGAUGUGAAAGCCCCUGGCUCAACUGGGGAAGUGCACCCGAAACUGAGUGGCUUGAGUACUAAAGAGGGUCGCGGAAUUCCCGGUGUAGAGGUGAAAUUCGUAGAUAUCGGAAGGAACACCGGUGGCGAAGGCGGCGACCUGGGUAGAUACUGACGCUGAGGCGCGAAAGCGUGGGGAGCAAACAGG